This 23-nucleotide non-coding RNA is filed under the name Arabidopsis thaliana (thale cress). Lineage: Eukaryota; Viridiplantae; Streptophyta; Magnoliopsida; Brassicales; Brassicaceae. The record is from RNAcentral.
UCAGGAUUCGAGAUUGAAACGUG